Molecule: long non-coding RNA, 3008 nt
Organism: Pipistrellus kuhlii (Kuhl's pipistrelle)
Lineage: Eukaryota; Metazoa; Chordata; Mammalia; Chiroptera; Vespertilionidae
Exons: 3
Source: RefSeq, a predicted model, not a curated record
UGAAAUCAAUAAAAAAAUUUUAAAGAAAGAAUAAGAAUAAGAAUUCUGCAGUGCAAUGAACUUCUCAUUCUUUUUUAAGUGUUAAAAUAUAGACUAUUAAAUAACAAAGCCAAAGCAGAAUGCAUAGAAAAAGCAUUUUAGGGAAGUAUUUAAAUAUUUUCUUAUUAGACAUCUCAAAAGUAUGGACUCUCCGCGGUGGUGACUUUGGAUAAUGACGAGAGCUCUGUUCCUCCACUCCGACAGUUAGAGAGCCACAGGGCAAAAAGCAAGGCUCACUCACUUUGUACUGGGCGAACUAAACCUUGAGGGAAAGAGGGAAGGGGGUAGUUAAACUAGGACCUGGGGUAGAAUUUAGUGGCCUUGAUUUCUCGUUCACAGUGAGUUUCUCACUGUAAGGUAAUGGAGUUCGUCUCUUCCUCCCAUCCCCCCGCCACCUCCUUAAUCAAGGAGCAUCUGGGGACUCCAUGGGCCAGUUGCUUUGGAGACCAGGCUUACCACAGCAUGGAGAGAUUCAAUUUCCACUUGCAGGUGGUGCCACUGGCGCCGGGCUUCCUUGAGUUCUGCUUGAGCUGCCCUUAAAGCCUCUUCAUCUUUGUCCAUCUUUUUGCUCAGAUCUUCCUCCAGCUAGAAGAGAGCCAACAACACCAAUAACAGGAAAAGAAGGGGCACUCUUGAGAGUGAGGUGUUUGAGAGCAAUGAUAGAAAAAUGGCGUGGGAAUCGAAUCAUUGUUUUCUUUAAGUUGUUGGAUUGUACGUGUAUGCUUUAGUGCUUCGUUACGAAUCAUUUAAAUGUCUGAGCAAGCCCAUUGCACUCUCAGCCUCGGUUUUUUCAGAUGUAAACGAACCUCAAAAAUCUCUUCCUGCAGUGGCAGUCUAUGAAAUGCAGGAAAAAAACACACCCAUUUAAUACAGAGUAACAGUUUACAGGACCUACUUUUGAGGCCUCUGAUUCUUAACUUUCCAGAAUUUAUGGCAUUAAUAAGGAAUAACGAUUGAAAUUAGCUACUAUUUCCCCCAUAUUUUCUUGUUGAUUGCUUUAUCAAAGCAGAUAAACUGUUAUAUAACCUAAAUUAAUCAAGUAUUGGACUGGAUACAUAGAUAGGUAAUAAAUAUUGCUGGAAAGUAUAUUAUGAAUAAUUUAGAUCAGUUAUCACAGGCAUUAAAAACUCUAAAAUAGAUUUCAGUAUUAAGCUCAGCCACCAUUGAUUUAUCUUUUUUAAUAUGGUCUUUUAGAAGGCAUGCUAAUUUUGUCUAUCUACAGUAGCAGCAAAAAAAAUGACUUCCUUAAAAAUUGUUUUCUAAAUGUCCUCAUACAAAAUAACAAACGGAUUAUUGUAUAGUUAGCUUUAAAUGUUCUUAUACUGAUGUUGAAAGUCAAUGAAAGUCUCUUUUGACUGGAUUCUGAACAUUUGGCCCCACGAGCAGUAGGAGCAGUGCAUGAAAUUGGUUGUAAUAUUUUUAAGCAAAAGUUACUACCUUUUUAAGUUUUUAUAAAAAUGCAUUUCAAAAUUAAAAAAAUGUAAUAUGAUGGUGCAACAGAUUUUAUAAAGAAGGAAACACUGCAGAACAUGCAAGUGUGUAAUGAAGUUUAGGGCAAAGUAUCAUAUACCAUUUAUAUGUUUCUUUUGAUUUGUUGUUCUCAGUAUUGUUGGCAAAAGCAAGCAGCAUCAGAGCAGCUACGAAAGAAAGUGUUGAGCAUUUAGGAGCUAGGAGUGCAUGAAAACGAUGGUAUUCGUUGGUCUUUUGGAUUUUGGGAUGGACAGCGAAGCUUGGAUAGUAGCUAGAUUCUGAAGAUGGCCUGCAAUGGACCACCCGUCCCCUAAUGGAUGUCUUUGUGUGGUGGCCUUCCACAUUGCAUCUGGGCUGACCUAUGCCCGUAGAAGGUAGCAGAAGUGUCAGUUUUAGGCCUAAGCCUUAAGAAGUCCUGACACCUUGCACUUCUAUGCUUUUGGAGCAGCAUGUAGGAAAUCUGCAUACUCUGUUGUUGGAGGGAUCCUAUAGAGAGGCCAGACGGAGAUACCCCGAGGCUGCAUGGAGAGAGAGAAACAUUUGUCUCUGCUGAGCCAGCCUUUCAAAAACCCUGAGGUGCCAGGUCCAUGAAUGAGCCACCUUGGAUGACCCAGCCCAGUUGUGCCCCAAGAUGAUUGCAGACUCAGCCAAUGUCACGCACAGCUGAAGCCACCCCCAAUGAACCUAGGCAAGCCACAGAAUCGUGAGAGGGAACACAAUGCUUUCUUUAAGUUUUGGGGUAGUUUUUGUAUAGUAAUAAGUAACUGAGUAGCUCCCUAUUGUGUAAUAAUUAAACAGGCUUUCUUGCAUUUAUUUUAGCUGAUUCUGAAUUCUUUGAAAACAAUCCCCUAAGGUGAACGAACUAUUCCAACAGUUAAAUAUCCCAGUGACUCUGCUUAAUCCAGGAUACCGAUCAUUCUUUAUGAAGACUGGCAAUGUUAUCCAGAGUAGAUGCUGCAUUGAAAAGGAAAUACUGUACCUCAGAGAGGCCGGGACAGGAAUUGGCUAGACAUGGAUUGUCUCCUUAUCCUGGAGGGUGUCUGUCUGUAUGAAAUCAUUACCUGGAUCCUUGUUGAGAGCACGGUCUCUAUCUGAUUUCUGGUGAGGAGCUGUUCAUAGUUUGCCCUGAUCUCAUUGAGUAGCUGGGACAGCUCCAUUCUUUUCCCAUCCUCCACCUUGGCUAACUGAACCUUAUCGAUAGGAUGAGUCGCUGCAGCAGCAGCAGCAGCGCUGCUCUGUCUGCCUCCCAGCCCAGAGCCCAGUGGAGCCUUAAAGACACAGAGCUCCUUUUUUUCACAAGCCAUGGAAAUUCCCGUGUUCCUAUUUAAUUAUGCAAAUAUUGGGUAAACCCUUUUCUCCUGUUGUUGGUAUAGUAGAAAUGUCAGAAAAACAACAACAACAAAAAUGAAAACAUCCUCAGUAUUUCUGAACUGGUUCUCUGUAAAACUGAGUACUUUUUUGGGGAGAGAAAAAAAGGAAAGGUAAUGUAUCUCAUGGGA